UACGGAGGGUGCGAGCGUUGUCCGGAAUCACUGGGCGUAAAGGGCGCGUAGGCGGCGCGGGUAGUCAACGGUGAAAGCUUGGGGCUCAACCCCGAGUCGGCCGUCGAUACUCCCGUGCUUGAGCACUGUAGAGGCAGGUGGAAUUCCGGGUGUAGCGGUGGAAUGCGUAGAGAUCCGGAAGAACACCGGUGGCGAAGGCGGCCUGCUGGGCAGUAGCUGACGCUGAGGCGCGACAGCGUGGGGAGCAAACAGG
This 253-nucleotide ribosomal RNA is filed under the name uncultured bacterium. Its description in RNAcentral is "partial 16S ribosomal RNA". It matches the Rfam family "Bacterial small subunit ribosomal RNA", at positions 524 to 776 of the family's 1533-position model. The record is from RNAcentral.